Molecule: unclassified non-coding RNA, 398 nt
Filed under: Hevea brasiliensis (rubber tree)
Lineage: Eukaryota; Viridiplantae; Streptophyta; Magnoliopsida; Malpighiales; Euphorbiaceae
Source: RNAcentral
CAGUACUUGAUUAUUGAGAUGCCACUGUAUAAUUUCUUCACUGAUACACGGUUGUCAUCCCCGAAUGACUGCUUUGCUAUACAACAUGCAAGUGAAGCCAACACCCCACAUUCCAUCUGGCUAGCAAGAGCCAAGGCAAAUGUCUCCAUCUAUGCUGUUGCAAGCCGAGCAUUGCCUGAACGAGCUGGCCAUAAGCUUCUGGUCCAUCACCAAUUUGACGAUGAAAAGCUCCGGUGAACAUGCUAAGGUCGAUUAUGAAUCGAGUCAAUACUAUUGGGUCCCAUUUUCGGGCGGACACGAGGGACAGAAAGAUACGUUGUGGUCAGAAAUGGAAAAAGAGAAAGGAUUUUUGAUCCCCGGAGUUUAAAUCAUAUGAGCGGAGGAGAGAUUGAGAGCAG